GACGAACGCUGGCGGCGUGCCUAAUACAUGCAAGUAGAACGCAUUUGCGAACGGGUGAGUAACGCGUAGGUAACUGCCUCAUAGCGGGGGUUACCUAUUGGAAAGGAUAGCUAAUCCCGCAUACUGUGAGAUGUACCUGCGUUGUAUUAGCUAGUUGGUGUGGUAACGGCUCACAAAGGCGACGAUACAUAGCCGACCUGAGAGGGUGAUCAGCCACACUGGGACUGAGACACGGCCCAGACUCCUACGGGAGGAAGCAGUAGGGAAGCUGCGGCAAUGGACGGAAGGCUGACCGAGCAACGCCGCGUGAGUGAAGAAGGUUUUCGGAUCGUAAAACUCUGUUGUUAGAGAAGCGGUAUCUAACCAGAAAGCCACGGCUAACUACGUGCCAGCCGCCGCGGUAAUUC
This 407-nucleotide ribosomal RNA is filed under the name uncultured bacterium. RNAcentral describes it as "partial 16S ribosomal RNA". It matches the Rfam family "Bacterial small subunit ribosomal RNA", at positions 28 to 526 of the family's 1533-position model. The record is from RNAcentral.